Molecule: non-coding RNA, 94 nt
Organism: Danio rerio (zebrafish)
Lineage: Eukaryota; Metazoa; Chordata; Actinopteri; Cypriniformes; Danionidae
Source: Rfam
GCUCCAGUGGCGCAAUCGGUCAGCGCGCGGUACUUAUAAGACAGUACAAUGCUUAGCAAUGCCGAGGUUGUGAGUUCGAGCCUCACCUGGAGCA